UCGAGUUUAUUGAGAGGGGGGUGACUAUGGUAGGCGAUAUGACUCGAUUUACUAACACCCCUACUGAAGACUUGAGGAGAAAAGCCCUGGAGUAUGAGGUAAAAGGUACUCUUCUCAACUAUUUGUUGACGAAUCGGCAGGAGCAGGAGGUCCAAGAGGCAAAACGGAAGGUGAAAGUCGUUGAUGACCAUCUUGCUGAUAUUGAGAAGAAAUAUUCCGAGACCAAGGCCAAGCUGGAGGAGGAUAUCAGGAAGCUGAAGGAGAGCCAGGAGGGCGAGGCGGAGAGGUUGAAGAAGG
This 297-nucleotide long non-coding RNA is filed under the name Trifolium pratense (red clover). RNAcentral's name for it is "long non-coding RNA (TPRA_LNC006827)". Lineage: Eukaryota; Viridiplantae; Streptophyta; Magnoliopsida; Fabales; Fabaceae. The record is from RNAcentral.